CGGCCCACCUAGCCUACGACGGGUACGGGCCCUGAGAGGGGGAGCCCGGAGAUGGGCACUGAGACAAGGGUCUAGGCCCUAAGGGGUGCAGCAGGCGCGAAGAUUCCGCAAUGCCCGAAAGGGCGACGGAGUGAACCCGAGUGCCACCCGCUGAGGGUGGCUGUUCCCCUGUGUAAAAAGCAGGGGGUAGAAAGGGGAGGGCAAGGCUGGUGGCAGCCGCCGCGGUAAAACCAGCUCCCCGAGGGGUUCCCACGCAUACUGGGCCUAAAGCGUCCGUAGCCGGCCCUGCAAGUCUGCAGUUAAAUCCGCCUGUAGACAGGCGGGCUGCUGCAGAUACUGCAGGGCUAGGGAGCGGGAGGAGCCGGGGGUAUUCCCGGGGGAGCGGUAAAAUGCGUAGAUCCCGGGAGGACCACCAGUGGCGAAGGCGCCCGGCUUGAACGCGUCCGACGGUGAGGGACGAAAGCUGGGGGAGCAAACCGGAUUAGAUACCCGGGUAGUCCCAGCCGUAAACGAUGCCGGCUAGGUGCUGGCCAAGGUUUCGGCCUUGGCCAGUGUCGAAGCGAAGGCAUUAAGCCGGCCGCCUGAGGAGUACGGCCGCAAGGCUGAAACUUGAAGGAAUUGACGGGGGGGCACCACAAGGGGUGAAUGCCUGCGGCUUAAUUGGACUCAACGCCGGGAAUCUUACCGGGGGCGACAGCAGGAUGAAGGUCAGGCUGAAGACCUUACCAGACGCGCUGAGGGGUGGUGCAUGGCCGUCGCCAGCUCGUGCCGUGAGGUGUCCUGUUAAGUCAGGCAACGAGCGAGACCCCCGCCCCUAGUUGCCAGCGGCCUCCUUCGGGAGGGACCGGGCAAACUAGGGGGACCGCCUCCGAAGAGGAGGAGGAAGGUGGGGGCUACGGCAGGUCAGUAUGCCCCUAAUCCCCCGG
This 926-nucleotide ribosomal RNA is filed under the name uncultured korarchaeote. RNAcentral describes it as "bacterial SSU rRNA". It matches the Rfam family "Archaeal small subunit ribosomal RNA", at positions 245 to 1168 of the family's 1478-position model. The record is from RNAcentral. Lineage: Archaea; Thermoproteati; Thermoproteota.